UACAGAGGUCUCGAGCGUUGUUCGGAUUCAUUGGGCGUAAAGGGUGCGUAGGUGGUCGCGUAAGUCGGAUGCGAAAUCCCGGGGCUCAACCCCGGAACUGCAUUCGAUACUGCGUGGCUGGAGUCCUGGAGAGGAGAUCGGAAUUUACGGUGUAGCAGUGAAAUGCGUAGAUAUCGUAAGGAAGACCAGUGGCGAAGGCGGAUCUCUGGACAGGUACUGACACUGAGGCACGAAGGCUAGGGGAGCAAACGGG
This 253-nucleotide ribosomal RNA is filed under the name uncultured bacterium. RNAcentral describes it as "partial 16S ribosomal RNA". It matches the Rfam family "Bacterial small subunit ribosomal RNA", at positions 524 to 776 of the family's 1533-position model. The record is from RNAcentral.